AGCUCAGUAGCUCAGUGGUAGAGUACAUGCUUUGUAUGUAUGAUGUCCAGGGUUCUACCCAGGUCGCCGU
This is a non-coding RNA of Dallia pectoralis (Alaska blackfish), 70 nucleotides long. NCBI's taxonomy places the organism in Eukaryota, Metazoa, Chordata, Actinopteri, Esociformes, Umbridae. The record is from the annotation of a GenBank genome assembly.